UACAGAGGUGGCAAGCGUUGUUAGGAAUUACUGGGCGUAAAGGGCGCGUAGGCGGCCUUCUAAGUCAGACGUGAAAUCCCCCGGCUUAACCUGGGAACUGCGUCUGAUACUGGGAGGCUUGAGUAUGGGAGAGGGAUGUAGAAUUCCAGGUGUAGCGGUGAAAUGCGUAGAUAUCUGGAGGAAUACCGGUGGCGAAGGCGGCAUCCUGGACCAUAACUGACGCUGAGGCGCGAAAGCUAGGGGAGCAAACGGG
Molecule: ribosomal RNA, 253 nt
Filed under: uncultured bacterium
Lineage: Bacteria
Description: partial 16S ribosomal RNA
Rfam family: Bacterial small subunit ribosomal RNA
Source: RNAcentral